This 441-nucleotide ribosomal RNA is filed under the name Olbus jaguar. RNAcentral's name for it is "partial 16S ribosomal RNA". Lineage: Eukaryota; Metazoa; Arthropoda; Arachnida; Araneae; Corinnidae. The record is from RNAcentral.
UUCUAUUAGAAAUUAUUAAUAGUAUAAUCUGCUCAAUGAAAUUUAAAUAGCCGCAGAAUCUGUGCUAAGGUAGCAUAAUCAUUUGUCUUUUAAAUAAAGACUAGAAUAAAAGAUUAAACAAUUCAAUUAAUUUCUAAAAUUUAAUAAUUCAAAAUUAUCUUAAAUGUAAAAAGACAUUUAUUAAAAAGAAAGACGACAAGACCCUAUAGAACUUCACUAUAGUUGUACUGGGGAAGUAAAUUAAUUAUUAUUUUAAUUAAAAUACUAUUAUAAUAUAAUCCAAUAAUAUUGAAUAUUAUUAAGUUACCUUAGGGAUAACAGCGUUAUUUUUAUUUUAAGCUCUUAUAAAAAUAAAAGUUUGCGACCUCGAUGUUGAAUAAUAACCUAAUUUUAAACGCAAUAGUUAAUAAAGGAAGUCUGUUCGACUUAUAAAUAAUUACA